RNAcentral lists this long non-coding RNA (220 nucleotides) under Elaeis guineensis (African oil palm). RNAcentral describes it as "long non-coding RNA (EGUI_LNC008010)". Lineage: Eukaryota; Viridiplantae; Streptophyta; Magnoliopsida; Arecales; Arecaceae. The record is from RNAcentral.
GAUUGUAGACAAAAUCAAUACACCUAGGAUAAUAGCAUCUAGGAAUCGUUGACUAAGAAGGUUAAAAUAGUUUAUGCUUAUCUAUAUUGAUUUCUUUAAAAGUUAGCAAAGUGAUAGUGAGAAUCUUUUGUACCAUGCUAAGAUAAUCAAAUAGUAGACAUCAUAGCCAAUUGAGAGUAGACCUUAAAUAAAUUACUUUUUCUCUUAACUAAUUAUGGAA